CCUGGGGGUGAAGAAGCUCCCAAGGGUUUGGCUGUUCGCCAAUGAAAGCGGUACGUGAGCUGGGUUCAGACCGUCGUGAGACAGGUCGGUCCCUAUCUACCGUGGGCGCACGAAACUUGAGGAGGAUCAACCUUAGUACGAGAGGAUUUGGUUGGACUUAGCUCUGGUGUACCAGUUGUCACGCUAGUGGCACGGCUGGAUAGCUAACUAGGGAAAGGAUAAACGCUGAAAGCAUCUAAGCGUGAAGCCCUCUCCAAGACUAGGUUUCGUAGCUACUUGUAGCGAGAGUCCCCUGGUAGACUACCAGGUUGAUAGGACAGAUGUGUACGCACCGUAAGGUGUUUAGCUAACUGUUACUAACGGACGAACGCUUGACCAU
RNAcentral lists this ribosomal RNA (379 nucleotides) under Planctomycetota bacterium. RNAcentral's name for it is "partial 23S ribosomal RNA". It matches the Rfam family "Bacterial large subunit ribosomal RNA", at positions 2546 to 2925 of the family's 2925-position model. The record is from RNAcentral. Lineage: Bacteria; Pseudomonadati; Planctomycetota.